CUGACGAGCGCGUCCGGGUCAAUUGCGGACUGCAACACCCGAUCUCCCUCCCCGUUCCUCCAUCGAUGGAGGUCGAGGAAGGGGAACGCGUCACCAUCAG
Molecule: non-coding RNA, 100 nt
Submitted as: unclassified sequences
Source: Rfam